RNAcentral lists this transfer RNA (85 nucleotides) under Acinetobacter baumannii. RNAcentral describes it as "tRNA-Leu". It matches the Rfam family "tRNA". Rfam says of the family: Transfer RNA (tRNA) molecules are approximately 80 nucleotides in length. Lineage: Bacteria; Pseudomonadati; Pseudomonadota; Gammaproteobacteria; Moraxellales; Moraxellaceae. The record is from RNAcentral.
GGGGGCGUGGCGAAAUUGGUAGAUGCACUGGAUUUAGGUUCCAGCGCCGCAAGGUGUAAGAGUUCGAGUCUCUUCGCCCCCACCA